Molecule: long non-coding RNA, 522 nt
Organism: Cydia fagiglandana
Lineage: Eukaryota; Metazoa; Arthropoda; Insecta; Lepidoptera; Tortricidae
Exons: 2
Source: RefSeq, a predicted model, not a curated record
ACUAAGGAGGAACGGGUACAAGGUAAAAAAGUGGCAACCCAGACGAAAGGCAAGGCGGAAACGUCCUGAUGUCUCCAGACAGCCGGCAUUUUUGCCGUAUGUAAAAGGGGUAACGGAUAAAGUUGGCACAGUACUUGGAAAGUACUCUAUAAAGACGGUGUACACACCUUUAUCCAAAGUAGCAGGGAGCCUAAGGUCACCGAAGGACGUUAUUCCUCUGCGGUGGCUGAGCAUUUGCUGGAGUCAGGACCAAACCACUGGAUUGAGCUGCAUAACCCUAAAAUCCUCUCCACGGAUCGCCAUUUCUACAGUAGCUAGGUGCGGGAAGCCAUUGAAAUAAAAAAACAUUGCAAUUUUAAUCGGGACGAGGGUUUUAAGAUCUCAUCCACAUGGAAUCCAGUCAUUAGUAAAUGUAAGCGGAAACGAAUAUCGACAGUCGAUAAAUCGAAUAUCGUUAGUGUUGUGUGUCGACAGAGUGACAUCCCUAGUGCGCAAAACGUUCAAACUGAUAAACAAGACCAA